This 124-nucleotide ribosomal RNA is filed under the name Alkalihalobacillus trypoxylicola. RNAcentral describes it as "Bacillus trypoxylicola partial 23S ribosomal RNA". It matches the Rfam family "Bacterial large subunit ribosomal RNA", at positions 1 to 122 of the family's 2925-position model. The record is from RNAcentral. Lineage: Bacteria; Bacillati; Bacillota; Bacilli; Caryophanales; Bacillaceae.
AUGGUUAAGUUAGAAAGGGCGCACGGYGAAUGCCUUGGCACUAGGAGCCGAAGAAGGACGCGACGAACGGCGAAACGCCUCGUGGAGCUGUAAGUAAGCUUUGAAGCGGGGAUAUCCGAAUGGG